Long non-coding RNA from Patella vulgata (common limpet), 924 nucleotides. RefSeq lists it as uncharacterized. The transcript has 3 exons. Lineage: Eukaryota; Metazoa; Mollusca; Gastropoda; Patellidae. The record is from RefSeq and is a predicted model, not a curated record.
UUGGUAGAGCGAGGAAAAUCCAUAUUAUGUCUCGCUGUACAAUAUGUAAACACACAGCCGUCAAAAAUCUACAGUUGUGAUAACAGCAUACCUGAGAGAAUUGACACCAUUCACAGAUAUGUGCCAUAUAUAUGUAUUACCAUCUAUUUACAUAUAUAGAGUAUAAUUUAGUGAAGAAUAGGAUGAGAAUACGUUGCACUGUCAGAGAUUGGACUGCUAACAAGACGGCUGUAUGAGCUACACUACCAUGCUUGGGCUUCAGCAUCAUUAGCGUUUUCAGUGUUAGACUUUCAAUAUCUGAAGGAUGUGUUGCCGCUGGGAAUAACAUGAUUUAUGUGUUUGGAAUACGGUCUGUUUGAUAAAAUGGAUAUUGAAUUAGGAUAUGUUAACUUGCUGAUGGUUUUGUUUCUGCUUGGGUGUCUGGCAGAUGAUGAAAUAAACUACAAUAUCAAAACAUCCUCCAAACGCCCGCUGUUGCCUAACAAUGCCGUUUCAAUGGUGAUUGAUGCUACGGAAAGAAUGACAAUAUCACAGUUAGAAACAACCCCAUCAUCAAUCGCUAUUCAGUGGAAUUUUUUAAAAAAUGAUUUUAAUGGUACUCACCAAGAAACAGUGGUUGGUUAUAUUGCUAUGAACACGAACGGUCGGUUUAUCUCUGAUAAUUUAGGAGAUGUAGUAAACGAAUUUGAGUUUAAACAUCUGCAACCGGAUACAGUUUAUAGUAUUUGUAUUGAAGUGAUAACGGUUAAUAUAGAUGAAACUGUUUCUCAUUUUAAAUGUGUAAAUAUGAAGACUAUUCCCACCAUACGAACUGACAGUAUCGUGGCCAUUUUUAUAGCUUUUGGUUAUCUGGGUUUCAUGGGUAUCGUGGGGUGUGCUGUUUGGAAACACAGGAUUUAUAAUAAUAACCGAAACCGCUUAGAA